Molecule: small nucleolar RNA, 181 nt
Organism: Parambassis ranga (Indian glassy fish)
Lineage: Eukaryota; Metazoa; Chordata; Actinopteri; Ambassidae
Source: Ensembl
GGUGAAUGGUGUGCACAGUGUCAGUCUGUGUUAUGCUUUGUUGUUGGACUGUGUUUUGCAGCCUUAGCAGCAGGGCUCACUCCAAACCUGCAGCCAUAGAACAACUGGAGAUCAUAGUACUGGUCCUUGACGUCGAUACUGACAACCCACCAUUGGCCAGCCUCCAAACUCUCCAACACAC